UACAGAGGGUGCAAGCGUUAAUCGGAAUUACUGGGCGUAAAGCGUGCGCAGACGGUUGCGUAAGUCAGAUGUGAAAGCCCCGGGCUCAACCUGGGAAUUGCAUUUGAGACUGCGUAGCUAGGGUGCGGAAGAGGGAAGCGGAAUUUCCGGUGUAGCGGUGAAAUGCGUAGAUAUCAGGAGGAACACCGGUGGUGUAGACGGCUUUCUGGACCGUAACUGACGCUGAGACACGAAAGCGUGGGUAGCAAACAGG
Molecule: ribosomal RNA, 253 nt
Filed under: uncultured bacterium
Lineage: Bacteria
Description: partial 16S ribosomal RNA
Rfam family: Bacterial small subunit ribosomal RNA
Source: RNAcentral